This is a small nucleolar RNA of Nycticebus coucang (slow loris), 131 nucleotides long. RefSeq annotates it as small nucleolar RNA SNORD10. The record is from RefSeq and is a predicted model, not a curated record. NCBI's taxonomy places the organism in Eukaryota, Metazoa, Chordata, Mammalia, Primates, Lorisidae. The transcript has a single exon.
UCUCUAUGAUGAAGCUCAUGCGUGUCAUCUGAGCCUGGCUUCCCUGUCAUCUCAGCCCAGGUAGUGUUCUAAAAAGAAUCUUUUUGUAGAGAGAGAUACUGAAAUAUUUACAGAUGAUGCGAUGACUGGGA